RNAcentral lists this long non-coding RNA (236 nucleotides) under Ananas comosus (pineapple). RNAcentral's name for it is "long non-coding RNA (ACOM_LNC035449)". The record is from RNAcentral. Lineage: Eukaryota; Viridiplantae; Streptophyta; Magnoliopsida; Poales; Bromeliaceae.
CUCGCCUGUUCGAAGGUUAAACCGAGGUAUGAAUUUAGAAUUUGGAAUUCUAAUUAAGUUUUGUAGUAUUGAGUUCGUUUCGAGGACGAAACACUUUUAAGGUGGGAAGGAUGUUAGGAAGUGAAUUCUCGAAACUCGAGGAUUAGACUUCGAUUAGAAUCGACUAGUUGUCGAGUGCGUAGGCUUCGGAAAGUCCGAAGGUGAUUAUGAUGCAUAAAGUGCAUUAAGGAAGGGUC